AAUGUGAAGAUAUCUGUAAGCGCAUAAAUGUGAGUUAUAUCUCUCUACCGCUGCUGAACUAAUAUUUUCCUCAUAUAGUUGAUUUGGCUUUUCUGUCUUGAUAAAUGAAAUAACAGUUUGAAAAGGUGCUUCUUGUAUUGUUCUCGUUAUCUUUGCAUAAUAUGUUUAGAUAUCUGAACCAUUUAAGUCUGACCACAAAAAAGAAAGCCAGAAAAAAAAAAAAACCCAGUAAGCAGACGGAUAUAUUUUUCCCCACUGCCUCCACUGGAAGCUACCAGGAGACUGUGUCAAUAACAUAAAUCCAUCAUCCACACGUUGGGCAACUAAGACUGAGGCGACUGUAGCCCACAAAAGAAUCUCUGUAGGAAAGCAAAGGACAGGAAAGAACAAGCGUUUGGUCGAGACGGCUGCAGGAGAGAGGGGCGAACGGCGACCGGCUGGUUCUUCUCUGAUGAAAUAUUGAUGCCGCUGACUUUGAUUCUGCGAUAGGUACUCUUGAUCCAGAUCUGUCACGGCAUCAGAGACUCCCCACCACCACCACCACCUUCUUAUUCUUCCUCAGGUAGCAUUACUGGCCUUCGGAAAACUGCUCCCCACCUCCACCAGCUUUGAUCAAACGUGUCGACUUUGAAGACCUUAUACAGAUCAAUGGCGUGUGUGUUUGUGUGUGUGUGCGUACAGGCAGGCGGAUGCUGUGGGCCUGGAACUCAAUAAGCAGCUGGACGGGGUUUCGCUGUUAGUCAGUUGUUGACUUUUAUUUAUCACGACUGCUGCUGCUGUAAUUGAUGACUGAAUCAACAGACGCUGCAGCAGCCAGCGCUGACUUCCCUUCUUCUUCUUUUUUUUUUUUUCCAGCAGAGCAGCAGUCGUAUCUCUUUUCCCCUCGCAGCACUCAUCUGAAAUUUAAAUCCAAUACUUUUGAAAGGAGGGUAAAAAAACAAGCUUUAUUAUUUAAAGAGACCAGUUUCAUUAACAAAAACCCAGGGCAUUGUUCAGACAAUAAAUCCUGAGGCUGCAACAUCAGCGCGCUCACAUCUCUGGGCUCGUCCUUUUAUAGACUUUCCCCAAACACAUCUCUGCAUGCUUCUCUGCCUCUUUUAUUCUCUUAAAAGACUAAAGUGCUCUUUUUCUCUCUCGCUCUGUGUGAGUGUGUGUGUGUGUGUGGAGUGGAAAGUAACCAGUGCGGUGCUGUAUUCCUGAGUAAUGGAGCAGAGAACCAUCUGUCUGUCUGGCCAGCCAUUCGACUGUAUCCCAAGAUCCUCUCAGUGUGUCUCACCUGCUAAUGAGAAGCUAGCAGGUCUUCUGCAGCUUGCAGCCCUUAAAAUGAAAGACUUCCCUGCACUGUGGAGGCUGCUGAGCACACACGGCUCCUCCUCGGUCGUCUUUGUCGUCAGCGCAAUCAGUAAUUUAAAAACGAGGGAAUCAAAAAUGGCGCGUGACGCAACAGUUCACACGAUUUGACGUUUGCUGAACUUCCUCCUAUUGUAGCUGACCAAAAGAUUUUUAACGCAGUGACGUUUCUAGUAUUUAUUUAAAACAUUUAAGAUGCCGUUUUCUUUUUUCCACACCUGAACAAAUUGUGGUCUUUGGUUUAGUCAGCGAAUCACUAAAGCAAAUACAGUAGAAAGGGACACGAUAUGGGCCGGGCCCAAACAGAAGGCAGUUUGAGCUUUGUUAAAAAAUUAAUAAAUAGAAAAAAUGACUAUAAUUGAAUAAGUAUAAUGAGUCUGCUGCACAAAACCAGAGCAAUGACUAUUAUCAGGUUGAUAACCAAUAAUUACUUAAAAAUCUCUGUGCUCAUUAAGCAGCUCCUGUAGAGAGGCUGAGCUCAAUAUAGCCCUCCAGAAUCCCCUCCCCUCGCCCACCAAGAUCCCGCUGCUCUCCCCUCUCGUUAUAUCCCACUUUUCCUCCUCCUCUCUCUGCUCUUCAUUCCCGCUUCCCUUUUAAUCACUUUCCAUCCCCUCGCUCGGUCGCGCUCGGCUCCGUCCCUUUCCUCCCAUCCUCCCGUCUUUUCAGGGGCGAUGGCAGUCAUUUUUCAUCCGUCCUGCGACGCCCCGUUUAUUUAUGUACAGGGCUGCGCCGGUCUCUUCCUCCUCCCUCCCUCUCCACCCCUCGCUCCGUCUCCUCCACUCCCUCUUUCUCUCCCCGGAAGAUUAACCAUACCCUCUCCAUCUCUUCUCAUCUAUCAUCCUAAUGGGGGCUACAAGAGGGAAAAAACAACAAUUUGCAGAGGGUGAAGCAGCCACAGAAGGGCACGGCGAGUGUCUGGAAUGUCACCUCGGAUCAAUUUCCACUUUGUCCCCGGUUUAAUUUACGCGCCCGUUUUCAUCCCGUCAGAUGUAGCAAUCUUCUUUCACCUUGCGUGCAUGGAAAGCAGAAAAUGUUUUGCAUUGGAUUUAUGGCGACAUUAGGGAUGCCAACACAGAGUCAGUGCAGGAGGCAUCACACUGGAAAUAAUCUCCAGGAACGUUCCCUGACUAAUUCACACCAUUUAUCUGGUGAAUUACGAAGAAGGAUGGGGGAGGGGGGGUAAAAUGGUAUCUUCACAGACCAGUGAUGUCUGACAAACUGCAAAUUGGACAUUUCACAUGGAAUAUUUUACAAAUAUUUUGGGGUAGUGACUUUUGAUUCUGCUAUGUUUUGCCUUGGUUUCUCAGAUAUCCUCAUUGCAAACCGGAACAUGAAACGGCCUGCGUGCAGAAGUGAAACUAAUCUGGACAAACAACACAAGAAGCAGAAACUCAUCCAGCAUGCCGGAUAGUAAAGGAAAGACCCCCGUGUAGUCGCUGGCUUCCACGGCCCCGAUCGCCCUCUCCACCAGCCUCCUUCGCUGUAAGAAGCCAACUGCAGGAGGCUCCUGCGAGCCACAUGCUAUCACAGCUCGGCCUUCCAGCCUCCAACCGCGACACGCUUACACUCAUCCACUCCACAGGGGAAGUGUUGAGCCUCGUUCGCCGACAUGACAGCACAAACACAGAAACACCCUUUCCCAGACUGGCGGUGCUGCCUCGAACCCCUCCUCUCCUCUCGCAGUUUCGCAUUUCUCUCUCUCUUUGCCUGCUCCUCCCAUCACUGUUUUCUCCUCAGUCUCUCUCCUCCUCUCAAAGAGCAGUUUUCCCUCGAGCGUCGUUGCGCGCUGCCGUCUUUGUUGGUGUUUACUUGUCUGAGUGUCUUUCUAAUCCUCCCCCAUCUUUCUGUCAAUAUUAGUCUUUGUUCAUCUGUAUCUAGGAUUUUUUUAUUUUUUUUCCCCCUUAACGUCUGUGUGCUGAAUAAAGUCAAAUGUGACGCACGUGAUGCUGAA
This is a non-coding RNA of Poecilia reticulata (guppy), 3301 nucleotides long. Lineage: Eukaryota; Metazoa; Chordata; Actinopteri; Cyprinodontiformes; Poeciliidae. The record is from RefSeq and is a predicted model, not a curated record.